UUUGAUCCUGGCUCAGAACGAACGCUGGCGGCAGGCUUAACACAUGCAAGUCGAGCGCCCCGCAAGGGGAGCGGCAGACGGGUGAGUAACGCGUGGGAACGUACCCUUUACUACGGAAUAACGCAGGGAAACUUGUGCUAAUACCGUAUGUGCCCUUCGGGGGAAAGAUUUAUCGGUAAGGGAUCGGCCCGCGUUGGAUUAGCUAGUUGGUGGGGUAAAGGCCUACCAAGGCGACGAUCCAUAGCUGGUCUGAGAGGAUGAUCAGCCACAUUGGGACUGAGACACGGCCCAAACUCCUACGGGAGGCAGCAGUGGGGAAUAUUGGACAAUGGGCGCAAGCCUGAUCCAGCCAUGCCGCGUGAGUGAUGAAGGCCCUAGGGUUGUAAAGCUCUUUCACCGGAGAAGAUAAUGACGGUAUCCGGAGAAGAAGCCCC
RNAcentral lists this ribosomal RNA (434 nucleotides) under denitrifying bacterium W4b. RNAcentral's name for it is "bacterial SSU rRNA". It matches the Rfam family "Bacterial small subunit ribosomal RNA", at positions 12 to 494 of the family's 1533-position model. Lineage: Bacteria; Pseudomonadati; Pseudomonadota; Alphaproteobacteria. The record is from RNAcentral.